Molecule: ribosomal RNA, 252 nt
Filed under: uncultured Gardnerella sp.
Lineage: Bacteria; Bacillati; Actinomycetota; Actinomycetes; Bifidobacteriales; Bifidobacteriaceae
Description: partial 16S ribosomal RNA
Rfam family: Bacterial small subunit ribosomal RNA
Source: RNAcentral
CGGGUGAGUAAUGCGUGACCAACCUGCCCCAUGCUCCAGAAUAGCUCUUGGAAACGGGUGGUAAUGCUGGAUGCUCCAACUUGACGCAUGUCUUGUUGGGAAAGUGUUUAGUGGCAUGGGAUGGGGUCGCGUCCUAUCAGCUCGUAGGCGUGGUAAUGGCCCACCUAGGCUUCGACGGGUAGCCGGCCUGAGAGGGCGGACGGCCACAUUGGGACUGAGAUACGGCCCAGACUCCUACGGGAGGCAGCAGAC